GAACGGGGUUAUUUAGGAAAUUUCCUUCGGGGAAUGGAAUCUUUAACCUAGUGGCGGACGGGUGAGUAACGCGUGAGCAAUCUGCCUUCGGAUGGGGGAUAACAGCCGGAAACGGCUGCUAAUACCGCAUAACACAUGGGAUCCGCAUGUUUCCCGUGUCAAAGAUUUAUCGUCCGGAGAUGAGCUCGCGUCUGAUUAGCUGGUUGGCGGGGUAACGGCCCACCAAGGCGACGAUCAGUAGCCGGACUGAGAGGUUGAACGGCCACAUUGGGACUGAGACACGGCCCAGACUCCUACGGGAGGCAGCAGUGGGGAAUAUUGCGCAAUGGGGGCAACCCUGACGCAGCAACGCCGCGUGAUUGAAGAAGGCCUUCGGGUUGUAAAGAUCUUUAAUCGGGGACGAAUUUUGACGGUACCCGAAGAAUAAGCUCCGGCUAACUACGUGCCAGCAGCCGCGGUAAUACGUAGGGAGCAAGCGUUAUCCGGAUUUACUGGGUGU
RNAcentral lists this ribosomal RNA (499 nucleotides) under uncultured bacterium. Its description in RNAcentral is "bacterial SSU rRNA". It matches the Rfam family "Bacterial small subunit ribosomal RNA", at positions 64 to 561 of the family's 1533-position model. The record is from RNAcentral.